AUGGGUGACUAUCUAGCACGGUUCAGAGAGCACGUGUAUGUAGUCUGCGCUGGUGAAUGGAAGCCUCCGCUGCAAAAAAGAAGCGGCUCUUCCCACAGCUCGGUCACCAUUGACUCUAUUUAUUAUUAUGGUAAAUCAUUGUAUCAAGAUAUCAAUCUUAGAUCAUAUUUUAGUUCGAUACGUCCACCUACGAAACUCGCCCUUGGCUUUCGUCUCGGUAGGUGUAUUAUUCUACAUUUUCCCAAAAGGACAUUCAUUCAUUUCUUUCUUCCCGGGCGAUCACCACGACUAAAACUCAAAAAACACAAGAAAUCAAGGCCCGUACUACAGGAAAAGGGCUGGUGGCCAACAGUUCAGAAAGUCGGGCCGAUCGGGUGUCUUCAUUCAAGCGAGGGUACAGAGGAAGAACGAAACGAAGUGAGAGGCCGGGGGGCAGGGAAAAGAGUCGAGUCGAUCGACCAGGAGAAGCAAAACAAAAUCCGGAUUUGGCCGAAAAAGAUGCAACGUUAUGGAUACAAUGACCGAUCACCAUCGAGAAAGAAGAAUUUUGAUAAAUCACUUCACAUGAGCGGGUCCUUCAAGCGGCCUCAAUACGUCGGGGUUGUAAAUGACAUACCUUUCCUUAUGGGAAAUGCCGCCUCCUUACUAAAAAGGAAUAGAAUCAAGUUACUUUUACCAAAGAAGUCCCGCUCUGACGGCCCGACGAGUCAUCUACUAAAAAGGACCUUCCCCGCUGUGCGGCCCUCCUUGAAUUAUUCGAUCAUGCAAUACUUUUUUAAUACUAAGAAUAAAAUGCAUUUCGACCCCGUCCUAGUUCUCAAUCAUUUCGUGGCACCGGGUGUGGCUGAACCAUCUACGAUGGGGGGAGCGAAGGGAGGAAGCUUAGAUAAGAGAAUACGCUCUCGCAUCGCUUUUUUUUAG
Molecule: ribosomal RNA, 921 nt
Filed under: Triticum aestivum (bread wheat)
Lineage: Eukaryota; Viridiplantae; Streptophyta; Magnoliopsida; Poales; Poaceae
Description: partial small subunit ribosomal RNA
Source: RNAcentral